GACGAACGCUGGCGGCGUGCCUAAUACAUGCAAGUUGAGCGCUGAAGGUUGGUACUUGUACCCACUGGAUGAGCAGCGAACGGGUGAGUAACGCGUGGGGAAUCUGCCUUUGAGCGGGGGGCAACAUUUGGAAACGAAUGCUAAUACCGCAUAAAAACUUUAAACACAAGUUUUAAGUUUGAAAGAUGCAAUUGCAUCACUCAAAGAUGAUCCCGCGUUGUAUUAGCUAGUUGGUGAGGUAAAGGCUCACCAAGGCGAUGAUACAUAGCCGACCUGAGAGGGUGAUCGGCCACAUUGGGACUGAGACACGGCCCAAACUCCUACGGGAGGCAGCAGUAGGGAAUCUUCGGCAAUGGACGAAAGUCUGACCGAGCAACGCCGCGUGAGUGAAGAAGGUUUUCGGAUCGUAAAACUCUGUUGGUAGAGAAGAACGUUGGUGAGAGUGGAAAGCUCAUCAAGUGACGGUAACUACCCAGAAAGGGACGGCUAACUACGUG
This 497-nucleotide ribosomal RNA is filed under the name uncultured bacterium. Its description in RNAcentral is "partial 16S ribosomal RNA". It matches the Rfam family "Bacterial small subunit ribosomal RNA", at positions 28 to 507 of the family's 1533-position model. The record is from RNAcentral.